UGCCAGCAGCCGCGGUAAUACGGAGGGAGCGAGCGUUGUUCGGAAUUACUGGGCGUAAAGCGCGGGCAGGUGGUCCGUUAAGUCGUCUGUGAAAACCCGAGGCUCAACCUCGUGGAAUGCAGGCGAUACUGGCGGACUAGAGAUCGGUAGAGGCUAGCGGAAUUCCUGGUGUAGCGGUGGAAUGCGUAGAUAUCAGGAAGAACACCCGUGGCGAAGGCGGCUAGCUGGGCCGAGUCUGACACUCAUCCGCGAAAGCGUGGGGAGCAAACAGGAUUAGAUA
RNAcentral lists this ribosomal RNA (280 nucleotides) under uncultured bacterium. RNAcentral's name for it is "partial 16S ribosomal RNA". It matches the Rfam family "Bacterial small subunit ribosomal RNA", at positions 506 to 784 of the family's 1533-position model. The record is from RNAcentral.